This 301-nucleotide ribosomal RNA is filed under the name uncultured bacterium. RNAcentral describes it as "partial 16S ribosomal RNA". It matches the Rfam family "Bacterial small subunit ribosomal RNA", at positions 509 to 809 of the family's 1533-position model. The record is from RNAcentral.
CAGCCGCCGCGGGAAUACGGAGGGUGCAAGCGUUAAUCGGAAUUACUGGGCGUAAAGCGCACGCAGGCGGUCUGACAAGUCAGAUGUGAAAUCCCCGGGCUUAACCUGGGAACUGCAUUUGAAACUGUCAGGCUGGAGUCUUGUAGAGGGGGGUAGAAUUCCAGGUGUAGCGGUGAAAUGCGUAGAGAUCUGGAGGAAUACCGGUGGCGAAGGCGGCCCCCUGGACAAAGACUGACGCUCAGGUGCGAAAGCGUGGGGAGCAAACAGGAUUAGAUACCCGCGUAGCCCUGUCUCUUAUACA